RNAcentral lists this ribosomal RNA (206 nucleotides) under uncultured bacterium. RNAcentral describes it as "partial 16S ribosomal RNA". It matches the Rfam family "Bacterial small subunit ribosomal RNA", at positions 568 to 775 of the family's 1533-position model. The record is from RNAcentral.
CGCGCAGGCGGGCUAAUAAGUUGGAUGUGAAAGCCUACGGCUCAACCGUAGAACUGCAUCCAAAACUGUUAGUCUAGAGUGUGGGAGAGGAAGAUGGAAUUAGUUGUGUAGGGGUAAAUCCGUAGAGAUAACUAGGAAUACCAAAGCGAAGGCAAUCUUCUGGAACAUUACUGACGCUGAGGCGCGAAAGCGUGGGGAGCAAACAG